RNAcentral lists this ribosomal RNA (264 nucleotides) under uncultured bacterium. RNAcentral describes it as "partial 16S ribosomal RNA". It matches the Rfam family "Bacterial small subunit ribosomal RNA", at positions 793 to 1055 of the family's 1533-position model. The record is from RNAcentral.
GUCCCGGCGGUAAACGAUGGGCACUAGGUGUCGGAGGUAUCGACCCCUCCGGUGCCGCAGUUAACACAUUAAGUGCCCCGCCUGGGGAGUACGGCCGCAAGGUUGAAACUCAAAGGAAUUGACGGGGGCCGCACAAGCGGUGGAGUAUGUGGUUUAAUUCGACGCAACGCGAAGAACCUUACCUGGGCUUGACAUGUAACGGACAUGGUUAGAGAUAACCACUCGUCUUCGGACGUCGUUGCACAGGUGCUGCAUGGCUGUCGU